Molecule: ribosomal RNA, 253 nt
Filed under: uncultured bacterium
Lineage: Bacteria
Description: partial 16S ribosomal RNA
Rfam family: Bacterial small subunit ribosomal RNA
Source: RNAcentral
UACGUAGGGUGCAAGCGUUAAUCGGAAUUACUGGGCGUAAAGCGUGCGCAGGCGGUUUUGUAAGUCUGACGUGAAAUCCCCGGGCUCAACCUGGGAAUUGCGUUGGAGACUGCAAGGCUAGAAUCUGGCAGAGGGGGGUAGAAUUCCACGUGUAGCAGUGAAAUGCGUAGAGAUGUGGAGGAACACCGAUGGCGAAGGCAGCCCCCUGGGUCAAGAUUGACGCUCAUGCACGAAAGCGUGGGGAGAAAACAGG